AUGUCCGGCGUCCCGCGCCCGCGCAUGCCAACCUCGCCUCUGGAGCCCACCACAGCCAUCGAGCCUCCUCCUCUCUGUAGCCAUCCCUUGGCAUCUGUCGUGCUCCCACCACGACAGUUGGCGCCCACCAUGGGGCAGCUCGAGGAGCUGGCCGGGAGCAUGCUUCAGACGGGGCCCUUGUCCUACACCGACGAGUCCGUCACGCUGGCGGACAACAUCGGUGGCGCGCUCGCCGCCUCCUUCGCCGCGUUCCGCAUCUCCAAUGCGAUCGCGGCCGAUGAGUACCCCAGCGAGGUGCUCAACUACUCCGACUCUCCCCUCUCCCUCGGCGGUGGCAUUGUCGCCGGGGCGAUGGAUGUCCAUGUGGAGGUUUACGUCACCGGCAAUGGCGCCUCUUCCUCGUCGAGCAAGACGAGGAAGGCCGUGGAAGCCAGGGCCACCGUGGAAUAG
Molecule: ribosomal RNA, 450 nt
Filed under: Triticum aestivum (bread wheat)
Lineage: Eukaryota; Viridiplantae; Streptophyta; Magnoliopsida; Poales; Poaceae
Description: partial small subunit ribosomal RNA
Source: RNAcentral